AUCCUUUUGUAGUUCAUAAGCUUGAUGAUUGGGUGUUUACACCGUUGUGUGACAUGUGGUUCCCUCAAACCUUGUUAUGACCUCCAUGCAUGACCCAUCUGACA
Molecule: small nucleolar RNA, 104 nt
Organism: Leptonychotes weddellii (Weddell seal)
Lineage: Eukaryota; Metazoa; Chordata; Mammalia; Carnivora; Phocidae
Product: small nucleolar RNA U13
Source: RefSeq, a predicted model, not a curated record